ACACAAUUAUAUAUUAUAUUUCUACAUGUUUUUAUAUUAUAUUAAACAGAAAUAUUUAUAUAUUGUAAUACUUAUAUGUGUAUUUUAUAGUAUAUUUGUUCUUCUUUCUGAUAGAUUUUUAUAGCGACAGGAGAACUUCCAUUCCCAUCUUACCCUUUGUCAGUUGAAUCCUCCUGAAUGAUGCCUUUUAAGUAAUCGGAUGGAGCCUUUUCCAAGCCCAUCCAUGGACCAAUCUGCAUGUAUUCCCUUAUUCUAAGCCCUAAAUCCUGGACUUAGCCUUACAAAUGGCAACCUGCUUUCAGGUCCCCUCUCCCUGUUGAGACCUUUCUGCUGCUCAGUAAAAUUCUGUUCUACCUACUCACUCUCCAGUGUCCACAUACCUUAUUCCUCUGGGCUGCAGAACAAGAACCUGGAACUUGCCGAACUGAGGAAGUAAAAGAACUGUACUGCUCCUAGUCACAUCUUACAUGGUGUCUGGAAAAACAUUCAAGUAAGAAGGGGACAACACAAACACAGCAGAUCACUCGUAAAUUUGAAAAGGAUGUCCUGUGAGAUAACAACAUGGCUGCCCUCAAUGCUAUCAAAGCACUAGAACUGCUCCCAGGCAAGGCUAAGCAGGUUCUCUGUAUUAGUAAAGGAAUGUUGGCCAUGUUGCUCUUUGGAAAUCAACUGCAAUUCACCAUGCAAACAGUGAAACCUUAAUGGAAGGAGAAUUGUCUACGAUAAACAAAUUUACACUAUAUGAAUUUAUGGGACAUGUCUCCUUGAAGAAUGUCACGUAAGUAAACAACUCUCUGGGGUUAAAAGAAAGAGAAGAUAUUAAAUAACUUAAGAAGCCUGUCCAGGUAGGUGAUCUAUAAUCCUCAUUUUAAAAUCGCUUUUAUUUGGGUCAGAUAGUAUAUGUCCAGUGGGAACAUAGCAUGUGUCCAACAUGGGAAGAAACAAUCUGUGGAGUCAGCAGGAUGUGCAAAGCCUCUCUCUGCCCUUUAUUUGUUUGCAUCACGGCAAUUGUUAGUUAAGCUCACUACUGCGAAAAAUCUCUGAUUUGUGGUUUCCUAUUAGAAAAUCAGAUCUUUCUGUUAGAUGAGUGUUCUGUUUUUUUUAGGUACUUAACUACAGAUGAUUUUUGUAAUCCUUGAAUGAGAAUUUUUUCAUCUCAUUCAUACUUAAAUUGGUUUAUAGAUUUAACUUUUUCACCAGCUUUUAAAAUUUGGCAAUGUAUUUGCAUGGCACUCAUAAAAGGAAUUGAGAAACACUAUUUUUUUUAAUGUUUAAGUAUGUUUAAAAUAACAUACAUUAGAUAGGAACUUUAGCAUUUAUCAAUUAUGUUUUCUUAUCACUCACUUAGCAUGUAAAAUAAUACAAAUAAUUUGCCAUUUUGGAACAUCAAUAACUAUAGGUGCCCCAGGGAUACUGACCUAGAUUUCAGGUAUACUCAUCACUUGGUAUACUCAGGGGAUUGGUUCCCACAAUAUCACCUUCAGAUACCAAAAGCCACUGAUAUUUAGUCUUUGCUAUAAAAUAGUGUAAUAUUUGCAUAUAAGCUAUGUGCUUCCUCUGCAUAUUUUAAAUCAUCUGUAUAUUACUUAUAACACCUGAUAUAGCAUGAAUGUUAUGUAAAUAGUCAUUAUAUUGCAUUGUUUAGGGAAUAACAAGAACAAAAGCUCUGCACUUGUUCAGUACAGAUGCAAUCAAUCAUUCAUUAUUUUUCGAAGUAUUUUCCAUCUGCAGUUGGUUGAAUCCACAGAUGUGGAACCCGCAGAUGCAGAGGGCUUCUUAUAUAACGGUGUUGUUUUCUUUUGGUAGUACUUCAAGCCUACAGGACAAUGUAGGUUUCCUUCCAUUUAAGGCCUGGAGCAAAGCUUAACAUUUUACUAUUUUUCAGGAAUUCAGCAGACAGAGGCCUGAGAGUUUUCUUAAUGAGGAGGUGUUUCAUCUGAGAUCUAUGUCUGCUGAAUUCUGUUCGCCCUAGUGAAAAUAAAAUCAACUGGAUUUGAAGGAGACUAUGCUUCCAAGACUGCACAAUUAAGUGAGAACUGAACCCUUGAGUAGCCGACGACAGGAGCCUGAGCAGCUGUUUUCAAAACAGAGCAAACUUUCUACUGAAGAAACCUGUUAAUAUUUCUGCAGAUUGAGGGCAUGACAUCAGACAAAUUAGAUAUGGUAAGUCAUAAAGGACACGGUUACAAAAAUAUACUUUAUAUUUAAGGGAAAGGUGCUUGCAUAAAAGCAAUUUCCAUGUAAAAUAUAAAAUUGUCUUUUUGGUUAGCUGAGACACCAGGCUUUUGUUUUGUUUUGCUUUUAUGCCUUCUAGAUUAAGAAGUUCAUCUCACAUAGAAAAGCUAUCUCCUAAAAAGUUUUCCCUUUCACUGACACCAUCAUACACCUUUUUCUGGACCAAGGUACUUAAUGUUUGCACUACAUUUUGAUAUCAGAGCUACCCUGGCUCUAAGAGAGUGAACAACUGUCAGAAAAGUUUCUUUCAGGAAGAAGGGCAGAGAAAGGUCAUAAGCCAGGGAGACAGAGGAAGCUAGAUCCUUGUCCAAGUGCUAACUCCAACACAAACCAAUUCUGACACCCUGAGGCACUCUUAUCCUUUCAAAGCCUCAGUUUCUCUAUCUACUAAGUGUGUUUUGUCAGCUUUAAAAGAUUCAAUAUAGGCCAGGCAUGGUGAAAUCUUGUAAUCCCAGCACUUUGGAAGGCCAAGGCCGGUGGAUCACGAGGUCAGACAUUCAAAACCAGUCUGGCCAACAUGGUGAAACCCCAUAUAAACUUAAAACACAAAAACUGCUAGCCAGGCGGGGUGGCAGGUGCCUGUAGUCCCAGCCACUCAGGAGGCUAAGGCAGGAGAAUUGCUUAAACCUGGGAGGUGGAUGUUACAGUGAGCAGAGAUCACACCACUGCACUCCAGCAUAGGUGACAGUGCGAGACUCUGUCUCAAAAAAAAAAAAAAAAAAAAAAGAUUCAGUAUAGUCAAAGUGUCACAAGUAAAUGCAAGUUAUAAAUUUUAUUUCAGAGAUUUGGAAGGCAUACCAAGGCAAACAGAAAAGCUACAGUAAAUGACGACAGCGUGGUAUUGACAAAUUAAGGGCCAAACAGAUCAAGUGGUCAGUAGUCACAUGUGGCUAGUGGCUACUGUAUUGGAGAGUACCGCUGUUUAGUAUUUGUUUAAUUCAUUUAUUCAUUCUACUGUUAUUAUGUGGGUUCUUUCUACUUUAGAGAUAUUACUAGUAAUGCUUCUAUGAACAUUUUAAUACAUGUUUUUAACAUUUAUAGGUAUGCAUCUCUGUUGCAUAUGUAUGCAGGAGUGGAAUUGCUGACUUAUAGCUUAUCAUGUAAAAGUUCGUAAGUUACAGGCAAACAAUAUUCCAAUGUGGUUGUAUCAAUUUGCCCUCCAUCAGCAGUGUGCAAAUUAAUUUAAAAAUUAUGUCUACACAAAAACGUGCACACAGAUAUUUGUAUGCCUUAUCAUAACUGCUAAAACCUGGAAGCAACCAGCAUGCCCAUCAAUAGGUGAAUGGAUACAUAACUUGUGAUAUCACCAAAAAUGAAGGACUUGCUUAUGUAUUCAAUAUUCAAAAUACUACCAAGCCAUGAAAAUACAUGAAGGAAACUUAAGUGGGUAUUACUGAGUGAUAGAAGCCAAUCUGAACAGGCUUUCUCCUGUAUACUUUUAGCUAUUUCACAUUCUGGAAAAGGCAAGACUAAGGAGACAUUCAAAAGAUCAUGGUUUCCAGGGUUUGGUGAAGGCAGGGGAUGAAUAGGUGGAGCACAGAAGAUUAUUAGGAGAGUGAAAUCAUUCUGUAUACUACUAUGGUGGAUACAUACAGUAUACAUUUGUCUAGAUUCAUAGGUGGUACAAUACCAAGUGUAAACUCUAACAUCAUUAUGAACUCUGGGUGAUAAUGAAGUGUCAGUGUGGGUUCAUUGAUUGUAACAAAAUGUACCACUCUGGUGCUGUGGGAUGUUGAUAAUGGAAGAGGCUUCACAUUUGUGGGGACACAGUAUAUGAGAAUCUCUGCACUUUUUGCUCAAUUGCUGUGAUGUUAAAACUUCUCAAAAAUAAGCUAUUAAAAAACUAAAACAGUAAAUUAUUUAAAUGACAAUAUAGUAGAAUAAUGACUUUUAUAGGCAAAAUGGCAUAAAGAAAUAGUUGUUAUAUCUGAUAUCAACAUUUGCAUUUUUACAGAUGUACUUGUGUAUAGGACUGUUUCUAAUUGGAUGGUAAAACAUUAUUUGCAAAUUAUGUGCAUUUUUGAAUCUAUUGUUGAUAAUAAGGCCAGAUGCUACAACACUCAAAAGAUUUAAAAGAGUCUAAGUGAAAAGUUUGAGGAUAACUGUGGCUCACUCCGUCAUCAAACUUUUAUUACCUCAUGAACGAUUCAGUGAACAUAUGCUAUUUGCUAGCACUGUCAAAGUACAUUAAAUAAAAAGAAUAUCCUAGUUUAUCAAAAUACAAUGGUGAAUGUUAUAGACAAAAUUGAAGAUUUACACUAUACGAUUGUACUUGCUUCAGAACAGAAUAUGAAUAAGUGAAAAGAAAAUUUAGUGGAGUUUUUUUCCUUUUUCCAAAAGAUUUUCAGGGGAGGAAGAAAAAACAGUUUGGACCUUAAAAAAUAAGCAAGCUGGCCGGGCGCGGUGGCUCACACCUGUUAUCCCAGCACUUUGGGAGGCUGAGGCUGGUGGAUCACAAGGUCAAGAGAUCAAGACCAUCCUGGCCAACACGGUGAAACCCCCGUCUCUACUAAAAAAUACAAAAGUUUGCCGGGCAUGGUGGCGCAAGCUUGUAGUCCCAGCUAUUCAGGAGGCUGAGGCAGGAGAAUCACUUGAAUCUGGGAGGCAGAGAUUGCAGUGAGCCGAGAUUCCACCACUGUAGUCCAGCCUGGUGCUUGGCAACAGAAUAAAACUCUGUAUCAAAAACAAAAAAAAAAAAAACAGGUUAAUAUUAGUUGAAGACUAGAACACGAUAACCAGAUGAGCUAAUUCAAAAGAGGGGCUACUCAUGGUUUAGUUAGUUGUGAAUUUCAUCAAAACUUUAAUUUAUCAACUAUGGUUUACUAGUUGUUGUGUUAGACAUUGAAGUCUAACACAUUGAAGUAAGUCGGUGAUUACAACGGAGCCUACUGCAUAUUGAAAGAGAUAGUGAUGCAAACCCAUGAUUGUAAUACAAUUAUGAUAUUAUUUAAGCAUAAAAACCAGUGCUUCCUGAAAACUUAAGCAUAAAACCCAGUGCAUACUGAUAACUUUUAGUAGUUGCUGUUAAAUACUAAAUUCCAGAGAUAUUAAGUAUUUACUUUCAGAUCGCCUGUGUCUGCGACCUCCUAUUCUAAUUAUUCCUCUGGUAGUAGUUUUAUUACUAGCUCAGAGGCCUGGCAUAUCUAUAUAGCAGUGCAUAAAUUGCUGUAAAGCUAUUUAUAUAAAGAAUCUCUAAGCCCAUCAGCUGGGUUUAGGGAAUUGAGCCAUUACAAGAUUGCAAGAUCCACUGGUUUUGUUCCUUUGGAUAUUUCUUUAAUAACUCUUUAUUUACUAUGCUCACUUUAGGAGUAUAUAUGCCAAAAUUGGAGCUGAAUCAGUCAUACUCUGCUUUACUCUGAGGUGGCCAUGUGAAGACAGUGAAAACACGUUUGCUUCCUCUUCACCUUCUACCAUGACUGUAAGUUUCCUGAGUCCUCCCCAGCCAUGCUUCCUGUACAGUCUGUGGAACUGUGAGUCAAUUAAGUCUCUUUUCUUUAGAAAUUACCCAGAUUCAGGCAUGCCUUUAUAGCAAUCUGAUAACAGACUAAUGUACUCAUCAAAGUAUCUUAUGAUAGAACUGACUCAAUAAAUUUAGAAUAACAGUUCACGAAGAUAAGUACAAAACAAGACAACUUGUUUCUCAAGCCAACUCUAGGAUCACAUGCAUUUUUCAUUCACACAUACACACACACAUACACACACACACACACACACACAAAACACUCAUAAAAAUAUAA
Long non-coding RNA from Callithrix jacchus (white-tufted-ear marmoset), 5972 nucleotides. RefSeq lists it as uncharacterized. NCBI's taxonomy places the organism in Eukaryota, Metazoa, Chordata, Mammalia, Primates, Cebidae. The record is from RefSeq and is a predicted model, not a curated record.